Molecule: ribosomal RNA, 452 nt
Filed under: uncultured bacterium
Lineage: Bacteria
Description: bacterial SSU rRNA
Rfam family: Bacterial small subunit ribosomal RNA
Source: RNAcentral
GUCUAGAAGCUUCGGCAAUGGGCGAAAGCCUGACCGAGCGACGCCGCGUGCAGGACGAAGGUCUUCGGAUUGUAAACUGCUUUCGACGGGGAUGAAAGGUAAGAGGGCCAAUACCCCCCUUAUUUGACAGUACCCGGUGAAGAAGCCCUGGCUAACUCCGUGCCAGCAGCCGCGGUAAUACGGAGAGGGCAAGCGUUGUUCGGAUUUAUUGGGCGUAAAGCGCGCGUAGGUGGCAUGGUAAGUCGAAUGUUAAAGACCCACGGCUCACCCGGGGGUAUGCGUCCGAUACUGCCGUGCUAGAGUGCGGGAGAGGAAAGUGGAAUUCCUGGUGUAGCGGUGAAAUGCGUAGAUAUCAGGAGGAACACCGGUGGCGAAGGCGGCUUUCUGGCCCGCAACUGACACUGAGGCGCGAAAGCGUGGGGAGCGAACGGGAUUAGAAACCCCUGUAGUCC